RNAcentral lists this long non-coding RNA (6925 nucleotides) under Vitis vinifera (wine grape). RNAcentral describes it as "long non-coding RNA (VVIN_LNC002528)". The record is from RNAcentral. Lineage: Eukaryota; Viridiplantae; Streptophyta; Magnoliopsida; Vitales; Vitaceae.
AAGCAUCAAAGGCUAUGGACUCUUUCCGAGGUGAUGAAGUUGGUUGAUGGUGUUUCUCACUAUGGAGUUGGAAGAUGGACUGAUAUAAAGAGACUUCUUUUCUCAUCAUCUGCUUACCGGACACCUGUGGAUUUGAGGGUACUCCAUACUGCAUUCAAUUAAAUGAUUUUCUUUGUUCUUGAACCUGAAAUUUGUUUACUACUUGGGAACUCUACAGGACAAAUGGCGGAAUCUUCUAAGAGCUAGCUGUGCCCAAUUACAAAGCAAGAGAGAGGUCAGUCACCCACCCUGCUUCCUCUAUCUCUAUGUGUAGGGUAUAUCUGGUUCCACUGGUUUGAAAAUUUGUUUUAUCAUAGUUAAAUACGAACUCUGAACUAUGCUGAUGCUUGUUAUUAAUAUCCUACAUAUUAAUGUUUUUUACUUUUUAAUUAUGCAAAUAUGAAAGACACCUGCAUAUGCAUCUCAAGGCUUUGCACUAGCUAUGAAGAUUAGAAAUUUCAUUAGUCCAAACAUCAUUCACUGUCAUUUAUGUUACAUGGACAUUUCAAAAUGUUUUGAGGUUCAGACAUGACAUGAAAUAGGGCAUGGUAUGUUUGACCUAAAUGUGCUCUUUAGGAAGUGCCUGUGAUGUGUUGGCAUGCUUUGGCAUUUGUGUAUAAAUGCCAUAUGAUGUGCUCUACCUUACUAUCAUGGAUGGAACCUGCAUUUGCAUCUCAAUGCUUUUCACUAGCUAUGAAGAUUAGAAAUUUCAGUAGUCCAAUCAUCAUUCACUGUAAUCUAUGUUACAUUGACACUUAAAAAUAUUUUGAGGUUCUGGUAUGACAUGAAAUAGGUCUGGAUGUUUGUCCUAAAUGUGCUCUUUAAGAUGUGCCUAUGAUGUGUUGGCAUGCUCAUAGUUUUAAAAGGCUCAAGGCGCACCAAGGCGCAAAGUAGUCCUAGAGCCUGAGGCGCAAGACACACCUAAGGUGUGGGCUUUAGUGAAGUGAGGCGCACCCUAAUUUAUAUAUAUUUUUCCUCUAUUUUUCUCCUAUUUUUCCUCCUUUUCUUCGUCUUCUUCACUUCUCCACUACACGACCGAGUCUAGGGCAAAAUUUGAAAGAGUUGUCGGGUUGAAAACAACUAGAAAAGGGGGUUGCAAGGGAAAACAGGGCCAAAACGACGUCGUUUUGGACCCUGCUUUUUUAAAAGAACAGGGAUCAAACGUAGUCGUUUUGGUCCCAAAAAAGAAAAAAAGACAUUAGGGCUUCUCUUUGCCCUCUGCAACCCAACGCUAGAGAAGAAGAGAAGGAGAAGAAGGAGGUAGGGGAUCGAAGCGCACUUGUGGAUCGUGUCGCGCCUAAGCGGCGCCUUUGUGAAGAGGCGUCACUUGCCUUCAGACGAGGCGUCGCGCCGCCCGGAGCCUAAGGUGCGCCUUUCACAACUAUGGGCAUGCUUUGGCAUUUGUGUAUAAAUGCCAUAUGGUGUGCUCUACCUUACCAUCAUGGAUGGAUUUCUUUACAUUGACAAAUGUCCAAUUGUGAAGCAAAACUAAUCAACUUUAUAUGAAGAAAAAGUUAACAUUUAACCAUCCUUGCUAUCAUGGAUGGAUUAGCUUUGAUUUGGCAAAAAAUAAGGGAUCUCUUACUGUGAACAAUGAGUCUCUUAGAAGGUAAGUAUUGGUUCUCUGUAGAGUCGAAGUCCUUCGAGAUAUUGACUGAGAUUGUGAAAGGCAAGGUGCUGCACAGAGAGAGGUAUUGGUGGUUUGGAUUAGGUUCAGAGCCAAAAGUUUGGCUUUGUUGUUGGGAGGGGUCGAGUCUUGUUGCAAAUCCGAAAAAAAGAGUAGUUUCAGAAAGUUGUGGUUGGAAGGGGAAAGAAGUUUUUUGUUGAAGCUCAGGAGGAACCCAGCGGGUAACUUCCUCUAUUGCUCAGUUCGUACUGCAGAGGGAAGAUGUUUUUCGCUAGUGUUCCCUGAAGGUAAAGGCCUGAUAAGGGGUUGGUUGUUGCUUGCUAGUAAGCUUAGAAGCCUUGGUGUACCCACAGACUCUCUUUCUGUAGUUCCUAAGGAUGCUAACCCGGUUCAAUGAGUUUCAGAUAAAGGUUAUGUUGGAAGGAUUUCGUUUGCUGAUGCAGUUAGAAACGACAAGAAGGGUGUGGCUGAGGUUGUUUGGGUCUAAGUUGGAGGGAUUGAUGUGUUCAACAAAGUGAAAGACUUGAGGUUUUGCCUAGUGGGCAGAUGGGGUGAUGGCAAGCUCCCUUCUCUUCCUUAAGAUUGUUGGCCAAGUCUUACUAGCAUGUGAAGGGGGAACUUCAUCUUGCGUUUUGAGUGGUCCCCUAAUCCUCUUUGAGUUUGAGGUGCCUUUUGAGGUGGAGAGGAUUUUAAGAGAAAGGCGUGGCUGGUACAUGGGGAAAAAAAUUUGGCUUUUUGAAUGGUCUCCUGAGGUAGGAUGCUUAAAAGAAGAGGAACAGACGGAUGAAGUUUGGGUAAGAAUCUUGGGGCUACCCUUUUUUUGUGGGACGGUGACUUUUUUAAGCAGGUUGGGGAUGCCCGUGGUGGGUUUGUAAUGGUGGAUGAAUGCUCCUCCAAUGGUCGCAAGCUACAGUGGGCGAGAAUCUUGGUGAGAUCAAAAGAUUUCUUCCCAAGUAGUGUACGGGUUGUGGUGGGCGAUUUGUGUUUUUCCAUUCCUUUAUGGUGGGAAAUUUAUCCUAGGGUGGCGGUGGUGCAGAGCAGAAGAUUACAACAACAAAAGGUAGGAGAUGAAGUGGGUGCUGCCUCAUGCAUGAUGGUGAGAGUGGGUUGGGAGUCUCACUCGUUGGAAAGUGGGGAAGGAUGCGUGUCACCCUCCCAUGGGGCUGGGAGCACUGGUGAUGUGAGACAACCCACUUUUUCUUAGUCAUUGCAGAAAGUUGGUGCAGUUGGGUCUGCUUAUGAAGAAGCAGGCCCGGAUUGGCCCGGUAGCAAGGUGGAGGAGUGGCCCAAACUCUUGGAGACCCAUGCUGGGUGAAGUGGGCUGGGCCUUGAUGAGAUGGGUUGGGCGAAUAAAAAAGGGAUGCUGGGCAUUGAUGAAGAGUGCAGGGCUUUAAACAAAGGGGAUUUGGGUCAGCCCAGCAGUGAAGUGGGCUUUAAAUGCGGAACUACCCCUAGCUCCUCUGGGGCUCGUUUUGGUUCACAAGGAGAGAGAGAUCUCUUUCCUCAUUUUGGUGAUUCCUCUCACAGCAACGUGGUGAAUGAAGGUGAAGUCUGUGCGCUGUCAGAGGAGAGAGACCUAGUUACGGCUUGCAUAGUCAUUGUAGAUGAAGCGUUAAUGGAAUAAGCCUCAUGAUUUUGAGGUCCGUUUGUUCCCUCUUCUACUUUUCUUGGGCGGGUUAAGCUCUUAUCUUCUUCUACUCUAUCUCUUGCCUCACUCUGGUUGGAUGAAGCCUGUUCCAUGGGAGGAUAAGAGUGGGACUCCUUUGAGACUGAUAAUGGAGCCCAGGCCUUUGAGUGUCUUGAAGAUAGGUAGAGCGACAUUAAAGGAGGUGGAUUUCAGCACAAGGAGCAGUCCGCGGAGCUGGAUUUGGCUGUCUGACUAGGGGGACCCUCUUGAGGAAUCCUUUGGCAAGUUGCUGGCCUUUAAUAGGUUUGUGGGAAUGCCAAUUGAAGGUUUUGAAAAUGAAUUUUAGCCCUUUGGUGAAGAAUGCAGUCCAAGGAGGGCAGAAGCUCUCAACAGGGAAAAAAGAAAGCUUCAACCUCAGGGUCUAGAUUUGAGAGAGAAUUACACAAUCUUCAGUGUUCCAUCAAUUAUGACUCAAAUUCAGGGACUAGAAAAAGGGGUGAGAGUUCUUCGGGGAAUUUUGCGAAUUAUGGGGAUCCUUGGUGCAUUGGUGGGGAUUUCAAUGUGGUUAGAUUCCCCAUAGAAAGGAGAAAUAGCUCAAGAAUCUCUUUUGCAAUGAGGCGUUUUUUGGAGGUCAUUGAAGAGCUCCUAUUGAGGACUUAUCCCUUGCUCGGUGGUGUUUCACCUAGUGUGGUGGCUUGAACAACAGUUACUCGUCUAGGCUAGAUCGUUUCUUAGUCUCAGAAGAGUGGAAAGGUCACUUUAGUGGUCUUUCUCAAAAGUUGUUGCUGAGGCCCCCUUCUGAUCAUGCCCCCAUUCUUCUAGAUGAAGGGGGGAUCAGGAGUGGUAAAUCCCCCCUUCGUUUUAAGAACAUGUGGUUGAGAGUGGAAGGGUUCAAAGAUCUGGUGAGGAGAUGGUGGACAGGCUACACUUUUAGUGGCUCAUUUAGCCACAUCUUAGCCUACAAGCUAAUGGUGUUGAAGCAGGAUCUCAAAACCUUGAACACAGAGGUGAUUGGGAAUGUUUUCUCUAACAAAGAGGCUGCCUUUUUUCAGAUUGGUUAUUGGGAUGCUAAAGAAAGUGAUUUGAGACUAUCCCUUGAAGAUGCGGAGGCUAGAAGAACAACUGUGGACGAUUUUAGUAAGUGGACAAGUAUAGAAGAGAUUUCAUGGAGGUAGAAGUCACAGCAGCUGUGGUUGGAAGGAGGUGAUAAAAAUUCUCGGUUUUUCCACAAGAUGGCUAAUGCUUGGAGGAGGAUGACUUGGCUAACGUGUUAGGGUGCAAAGUGGGCUCUUUACAUUCUACUUAUUUGGGUCUUUCGCGGGGGCCCCCUUUCAAGUUUGUUCAUGCUUGGGGUGCAAUGGAGGAAAGAUUUCAAAGAAGACUUGCUUUGUGGAAGAGGCAGUACUUGUCAAAAGGAAGGAGACCGACUUUAUUAAAGAACAUUUUAUCUAGCCUGCUUAUCUAUUUCAUGUUUUUAUUUGUGAUCCCCCGUAAGGUGAGUCUUAAAUUGGAGAAGAUUCAAAGGGACUUCUAAUGGGGGGUGGGAGGGGAGGAGAGCUCCAAAGAAGGCCUAAUCUUGUAAGAUGGUCUAUUGUUGGCUUGGAAAAAAAGGAAGAGGGCUUGGGAGUAAGGAGCUUAAUCUCUUCUAAAUAAGGCUCUUCUCGGGAAGUGGUAUUGGAGAUUUGCUUCUGAGAAUGAUUCCUUUUGGAAAUCGGUUGUAGGAAAAGCAUGGGGAGGAAAAGGGAGGAUGGUGUUCUAGAAUUUCAACAAAAGGCGAUGGAGUGAGUCUUUGGAAGGUGAUUCGUUGUGGGUGGAAGGGGAUCUAUGACAGGAUUGGCUUUAGAGUGGGAGAUGGCAAGAGGGUGAAGUUUUGAAAAGAUAGGUGGUGUGGGGAGGAACCUUUAGCUGUGACAUUCCCAAAGCUGUUUUCAAUUGCCACUAAUAAAGCAGCUUGGGUAGAUCAAUUGUGGGAGUAGAAUGGGGAGACGGGUCCAGUGUUCUCUAGAUAGAUAAAUGAUUGGGAGUUAGGUGAGGUGGAAGGUUUGGUUAGAAGGUUGCAAGGGCACAUGGUCAGUGGAGGAUGCUAUAGUUUGGCAAUGGCGAAUAGGGGGAAGCUUUUCUGGCAAAUCUUACUACUCCUUAGCUGGUUGUUAUCUGAAGGGUUUCCCCACAAGCUUGGUGUGGAAUCCUUGGGUGUUGAUGAAAGUCAAUUUCUUUGCUUGGGAAGCUUUUUGGGAAAAAAAUUCUAACUCUAGAUCACCUAAAAAGGAGGGGUUGGAGCCUUUCAAAUAGAUGUUAUUUGUGUAAGGGUGAUCAGCAAACCAUAUUCUGAUUCAUUGUCCUGAAGCAAGCAUGUCAUGGCACCAUAUUUUGCAUUUAUUUGAUGUUUAGUGGGUGAUGCCAUUCUCAAUCAAGGAUGCCCUCAUCAGUUGGUGGGGGCUGGGAAGAAGAGGAAGAAGGCUUGAAAAGCUGCGCCAUUGUGUCUAUUUUGGACUUUAUGGAAGGAGAGAAAUCGAAGAGCUUUUGAAGAUUUUGAACUUAUAGAUCAUGUGAUUUUACACUCCUUUAUGUACAUGUUUUUGGAGCGGGUUAGGGUACAUAUAGAGUCUAAUUCUGUCGGUUUUAGUUUUCAUAGAUCGGUUGGGUUGUAAGUGAAGCGAGGGUGUUUGUUUUUGUCUAUCCCCUAUUUUUUUUUGGGCCUUGUAUACAUCGUGUAUACUUUAGGCACUUUUUGGAUGGAUUUCUUUAAAUUGACAAAUGUCUGAGAGUGAAGCAAAACUGAUCAACUUCAUACAUAGAAAAAUUGACAAUUAACCAUCCUUACCAUCAUGGAUGGUUUUCAUCACAUUGACAAAUGUCCGAGUGUGAAGCAAAGCUGAUCAACUUUAUAUGAAGAAAAAUUAGCAAUUAACCAUUGACCUGCACUAAUAAGUAGAAAAUUUACAGGUUCAUCUACAUUUGGUAGUGAGUUAGGCAACCCUUCCACAUUUGGUCAUUGGUUAGGUGCUCCAAAAAUUUGGUUGCAUCUGGCAAUGUAAUCUGUACAUGUUGACUAUGGAGAUGUAGAUAUUAAAGGCACAGCUUAUUGUAUGCAUUCUGUAGCAUGACUAUAUGUAAAUCUGUAACAUGGAUUAAUAUACUUAAUAUCUUUUUGCACCCAUAAUAUCAGUGUAAAAUGUCAAAAAUUUAUUUUAUUGGAGUUGUUUCUUGGCUUUUUUUUUGGGAGGAUAAAUUUACAUUGUUGACUUGCAUGAUUUGAAAUUUUAUAUAUAUUAGAAUCUAAAUAUGUGUUUAUAUGUUGGCGCAUCCGACUGAAUUUCCAAAAUAUAAUUAAAAAUAAAAUUUGUAGGUCAAGAUUGGCCAGCAAAUUGUUAUUUGGCAAAGAAGUGGUUAUGGUAUAGAAUUAGAAUAAUUGAAGUUUGAAAAAUGGUUGAUGCAGGUAGAGCAAAAAAGGAAGCAUGCCAUGCGGCCCUUACCACAGACUCUGCUACACCGUGUUAGCGAACUGGCAAUUAUUCAUCCAUACCCAAAGGGGAGCAACUCCAAGCUUCCACAUGUUGGCCAUGUUACUUCUGCCAUGCUUCCGACUACAAGUAAAGAUGCUCCUUCCAGCCUGGGUAGGAGACUGGUAC